AAGAUUACUAAUGAGAUGGCGAACGGGUGAGUAAACGCGUGAGACAAUCCUGCCUAUGACAGUGGGAUAGCCUCGGGAAACCGGGAUUAAUACCGCAUAAAAUCGUAGAAACACAUGUUUCAACGGUCAAAGAUUUAUCGGUCAUAGAUGGGCUCGCGUCUGAUUAGCUAGUUGGUGAGAUAACAGCCCACCAAGGCGACGAUCAGUAGCCGGUCUGAGAGGAUGAACGGCCACAUUGGAACUGAGACACGGUCCAAACUCCUACGGGAGGCAGCAGUGGGGAAUAUUGCACAAUGGGGGAAACCCUGAUGCAGCGACGCCGCGUGAACGAAGAAGGUAUUCGUAUCGUAAAGUUCUUUUAUAUGGGAAGAUAAUGACGGUACCAUAAGAAAAAGCCCCGGCUAACUACGUGCCAGCAGCCGCGGUAAUACGUAGGGGGCUAGCGUUGUCCGGAAUCACUGGGCGUAAAGGGUUCGCAGGCGGAAAUGCAAGUCAGAUGUAAAAGGCAGUAGCUUAACUACUGUAAGCAUUUGAAACUGCAUAUCUUGAGAAGAGUAGAGGUAAGUGGAAUUUUUAGUGUAGCGGUGAAAUGCGUAGAUAUUAAAAAGAAUACCGGUGGCGAAGGCGACUUACUGGGCUCAUUCUGACGCUGAGGAACGAAAGCGUGGGUAGCAAACAGGAUUAGAUACCCUGGUAGUCCACGCUGUAAACGAUGAGUGCUAGGUAUCGGAAUAAUUCGGUGCCGCAGUUAACACAUUAAGCACUCCGCCUGGGGAGUACGUGCGCAAGCAUG
This 793-nucleotide ribosomal RNA is filed under the name uncultured Clostridia bacterium. RNAcentral describes it as "bacterial SSU rRNA". It matches the Rfam family "Bacterial small subunit ribosomal RNA", at positions 80 to 896 of the family's 1533-position model. Lineage: Bacteria; Bacillati; Bacillota; Clostridia. The record is from RNAcentral.